CUGAUUUUUGGGUGAUUUUGGUUGAUUUUUACUUUUUUUUCACUUCUUUCCUGAAAUACAAAAUAUGCCUAUAUUAGAAUAUAAUUUUUAAUAAAAUAAAUCAAAAAUAAAUCAAAACUUAGUAAAUAAGGAUACAAAAAUAUAGUAUAAAUAUGAGCUUAUCAAGAACCAAAGCUCUUAUACCAAUUUUUGCCCAGCU
RNAcentral lists this long non-coding RNA (199 nucleotides) under Elaeis guineensis (African oil palm). RNAcentral describes it as "long non-coding RNA (EGUI_LNC043054)". The record is from RNAcentral. Lineage: Eukaryota; Viridiplantae; Streptophyta; Magnoliopsida; Arecales; Arecaceae.